This 301-nucleotide ribosomal RNA is filed under the name uncultured bacterium. Its description in RNAcentral is "partial 16S ribosomal RNA". It matches the Rfam family "Bacterial small subunit ribosomal RNA", at positions 509 to 807 of the family's 1533-position model. The record is from RNAcentral.
CAGCCGCCGCGGUAAUACGGAGGGGGCUAGCGUUGUUCGGAAUUACUGGGCGUAAAGCGCACGUAGGCGGUUUUGUAAGUCAGAGGUGAAAGCCCGGAGCUCAACUCCGGAACUGCCUUUGAGACUGCAUCACUUGAACGUCGGAGAGGUGAGUGGAAUUCCGAGUGUAGAGGUGAAAUUCGUAGAUAUUCGGAAGAACACCAGUGGCGAAGGCGGCUCACUGGACGACUGUUGACGCUGAGGUGCGAAAGCGUGGGGAGCAAACAGGAUUAGAUACCCCCGUAGUCCCUGUCUCUUAUAC